UUUUGUGACAUACCCUAGAGGACCAUAGUCUAUAUGAAUUCAUUUGGCGAGUCGGAGGUCAGAAAAAGUGCGGUGUUGAAAAACUGGAGCUCAUUUGCUUCAGCAAGAGGCUGCGCUGGAGAGUGGACCUUGUCACAUGUGAGCCACCCACAUCAACAGGAUGGGAACUCAUGUGGAGUGCAUGUCAUAAUGUUUGCCCAAUCUCUCAUUGACGGUAAAACACAAGUGGAGGAGUACAACACUGAAAUCACAAAGCUCAGGUCCCGACUUUGCCACUACUUAUUUUCCUCAAUAGAUCGAACUAGGAAGUGCAGUCAGUGCUGGUGUGUGAUUGCAGCCAAAGACCGGGUGCAGUGCCAGAAAUGUGGUGCAUACAAGCACAUGUUGUUCAAAGUCUGUUUGUGGCAUCUGUAUCUUCUGUGAGAGGCCGUAAAGCCAAACUGCCCGCAAUGAUUCUUGACAGGCCUAAGAAGGCCAAAACUAAAGUAACAGUGUUUAGUGUUCUGAGUGAAGAGGAGGCUGGGGAGCUAGCCCUCGGGUUUGCCGGAAGAUUGGCCUGCGAUGUCACAACAGACAUGGUCUGUAAAGGCAUCGACCAUUCAAGUGCUGAUAUGACAAAACAGACUCUUCUCAAAAUCCAACACAACCUUAAACAUGAGCUGACUGAUUCCUCAACCUUCAGUUUGCUGACACACACCUUUGGCCCCGCUGCACUGGAUUCUGUCAUUUCAUUCCUGUGUGAAAAACUUGAUCUUGUUUCUUAAAUAAUGAA
Maylandia zebra (zebra mbuna) is the source of this 772-nucleotide long non-coding RNA. RefSeq lists it as uncharacterized. The record is from RefSeq and is a predicted model, not a curated record. Lineage: Eukaryota; Metazoa; Chordata; Actinopteri; Cichliformes; Cichlidae.